RNAcentral lists this long non-coding RNA (414 nucleotides) under Citrus sinensis (sweet orange). RNAcentral describes it as "long non-coding RNA (CSIN_LNC001463)". Lineage: Eukaryota; Viridiplantae; Streptophyta; Magnoliopsida; Sapindales; Rutaceae. The record is from RNAcentral.
ACGGGUGGUUAGCCCGCCCAGCCGACCCGCUUUGAAUCAACUUCCUCAACCCGGUUCCAUUCGGGUGGAUCAAAUACAUCUCAAAGCUUCCCGAACCCGGGUUAUCCCGAUCCGAUGCAAACGCAAUCCACUCCCCAUCCGGUGACCAGUUACACAUUGUGUCGCUCCAUGGACCCUCUGUUAAUCGGUGCAACCCGUAUCCCUCUCCUCCCUCUGCAUCCAUUAUAUAUAAAUUCUUAUAACCCGUCCGAGUCGAACGAAAUACGAUCCAUUUACCAUCGGGUGAAACCGAAGGAAACGCAUUGUUCUUGCCAUUGGUGGUCAACCUUCUAACGGCGCUAACUCCGUCAACAUCAUCAACGUUGAUAGAGAUUAUAUCGACCUCCGAGCUUUCACUAGCAAAUUCGGGUCCGC